AUUGAACGCUGGCGGCAGGCCUAACACAUGCAAGUCGAACGGUAGCACAGAGAGCUUGCUCUCGGGUGACGAGUGGCGGACGGGUGAGUAACGUCUGGGAAACUGCCCGAUGGAGGGGGAUAACUACUGGAAACGGUAGCUAAUACCGCAUAACGUCGCAAGACCAAAGUGGGGGACCUUCGGGCCUCACACCAUCGGAUGUGCCCAGAUGGGGUUAGCUAGUAGGUGGGGUAAUGGCUCACCUAGGCGACGAUCCCUAGCUGGUCAGAGUGGAUGGCCCGCCACACGGGAACUGAGACACGGUCCAGACUCCUGCGGGAGGCAGCGGUGGGGAAUAUUGCACGAUGGGGGCAAGCCUGAUGCAGCCAUGCCGCGUGUAUGAAGAAGGCCUUCGGGUUGUAAAGUACUUUCAGAGGGGAGGAAGGAGGUGAAGUUAAUAGCUUCACCGAUUGACGUUACCCGCAGAAGAAGCACCGGCUAACUCCGUGCCAGCCGCCGCCGUAA
RNAcentral lists this ribosomal RNA (504 nucleotides) under uncultured bacterium. RNAcentral's name for it is "partial 16S ribosomal RNA". It matches the Rfam family "Bacterial small subunit ribosomal RNA", at positions 29 to 523 of the family's 1533-position model. The record is from RNAcentral.